Molecule: long non-coding RNA, 2387 nt
Filed under: Canis lupus familiaris (dog)
Lineage: Eukaryota; Metazoa; Chordata; Mammalia; Carnivora; Canidae
Description: lncRNA (ENSCAFG00000058116.1)
Source: RNAcentral
GCCCCCGGCCGGGCCUUAGUGGCUGCGUCUCCCACUCCCGCGCCGAGGAUCACGCUGGAAAUCGCGGGAGUCGAGCGUGGUGAGGUGGGGCCUCAGGGGCAGGCGGGAGGUGCCCGGGUUAACGGUCCAAGGCCCAGAGGCCCGCCCGCCCAGGGCGCCUUAGGGAAUCCCGUUGGAGCAGCGGCCUCCCGUUUCCCGGGAGGAACCCGAGGCCCAGAGGCGGUCUGGGACCCAUCCUCGGAUUCCCGCCGCUUGCCCCCGCGUCCAGCCGCGGCCACCACGCUGGGCUCCAAUCCGCGGAGAAAGGGAGCCUCCCGACCCUCGUACCCCAGGGCUGCCGAGUCCGGGAGUAUCAGGAAAAGGCGCUGUGCUCUGCUGCGCGUCUCGCUCCCAGAAUUUUGCGGCUCCCUCUGCCCUUGGGGCUUGGCACGUGAUCUGUCCUAAAGCGCAGUCCCACCCGCCGCCCCGCUCGGGAGCUCGGGAACUCUGGUUCUUCAAAUGUCGCUUCCUUGGAAAUCUUUCCCGACCGCUUUCUGCAAGCGCCGUUCCUCCCACUGCUCGGUUCUUUAACCCGUUGCACCGAGUGAUUUUUCCUGUGGCUCUUGUACAGCCGUGCAGUUGGGCCGUGAUGCCUUUUUCGUCUCUAUAUUAUUCCGGGGUCCGGCACAUGAUGAUAAAUAAUAAUAUAUCCUAAACAGUCACGAAGCGUCAAGUGCUACUAAAUGCAUUACAUGGGAAGGCCCGCUUAAUCCUCACAGUAAUUUCAUGAAGCGGGUUGUUACGUCUUCACAUUUUAUGCAUGAAGAAACAGGCAUUACAAGAUCAUUUUGCCUAGAGUUCCACAACUAAUGAGUGGAGCUGGGCAGUGAAUUCUAGGAUGUCUGUUCCCAGAGCAUGUGAUAAUUUCACAAACUGCCUUUGGGUUUGAUAAAUGUCUAUUGGAUUGUUUUUUACUUUAACCACACGCUUAUGAUGUGCAUUUGAUUGAGAAGGCUUGGAAAGGAGAAUUGUUGUUCCCAAAUUACAUAUAGAGUUCCUGACAAAACCGGCGCUAGAACCUACUGCCAGCCCUGUUUGUUCAGGCACACUCUACCUUUCUUUGCUCCUUUGCUGCCAGAGCUGCAGACCUAGACCUCAUCACUUCACAGCCUUUAGGAAGUACCUCUCACAGAGAUGUGAUUUUUUUGUACUUCAUGAUUUAAGAGGCACUUUAAUGUAAUAGAUUAACCCUAGAGUUUGGAAGCAGAUUAGGGUUACAUGUUUGCUCAGCUAUAAAUCAUUUAUGUCUCUUCCAUUUUUUGAGUCUGUUUUCUUGUCUGCAAAAUUAAGACAAUGAUCUCAAAGGUUUUUUUGUGAAGAUUGCAAAUAAUUGUUUUGGGAGUAAAGUGCUAUAUAAGCUACAUGAUCUGUUUUUUACCUUUUAGGAGGUUAUAGAGCUUUCAGCAUUUUGUAAGACCAUUGGUGAUGUGGAUCAUAUUACCUAAUGCCUUAUAUUCUUUCAUUCAGUCAAAUAUUUAAUGAGUAGCUGCUAUAUGCCAGGCACUGUUUUAGGAGCUGGGGAUAUAGCAGUCAAUAAAACUAUUCUUGCAAGUAUUCUUAUAAGUAUAUUACACAUAAUAAUCAGAUAGGGACAGAUAACACCAGUGUGUGGGAGGGGUCAUGGUACUUUAUAUUGAGUGGUUAGGGAGCAACUUUAACUGAGAAGGUGAUGGUUGAACAGAGACCUGAAGGUGGUAAGGGAGCAAGCGAAUCAAGAUAACUAACUGGAAGAAGAGGCCCAGAAAAGAGUGGGUAGUUUGGUGCGUUCCCAAGCACAAGCAGCAAGGAAGGCUGUGUGACUGGAGAGGAGUAGGAAAUGGAAUUAAAAUGAUUGGAGGCUAGGAUCAAAUAAUUAGGAGCCUGUAGGCCAUGAGGAUGAUUUUGGUUUUUACUCUGAGUAGCCAUUGGAGGGUUCUGAGUUGCAUAAUCUGUCACUGUUUUAAAAGGAUCACUCUGAUUACUCUGUUGAGAAGGAACAAAUUUUAGAAGCAAGGGUGGAAGCAUCUCAGCUGUCUAGGGAGCUUUUGCAGUAAUCUAAAUGUAUUCUCUAUUGCUGGGGAAAAAAAUCAUCCCCAAAUUUAGCAGCUUGAAAUAGCAAUUAUUAUCUCAUACAGUUGUGGAUUAGAAAUCUAGGAGCAGGGUGAGUGGCACCUGGGUGGCUCAGUCCCUUAAGCGUCUGCUUUCGCCUCAGGUCACAAUCCCAGGGUCCUGGGAUGGAGUCCUGCAUCAGGCUCACUGCUCAGUGGGGAGUCUGCUUCUCCCUCUCCUUCUGCCUGUCCCUGCUGCUUGUGCUCUCUCUCUCAAAUAAAUCUUCAAAAAUAAAAUCUUCAAAAAAAAAAAAAAAAAAA